RNAcentral lists this ribosomal RNA (221 nucleotides) under uncultured bacterium. RNAcentral describes it as "partial 16S ribosomal RNA". It matches the Rfam family "Bacterial small subunit ribosomal RNA", at positions 524 to 742 of the family's 1533-position model. The record is from RNAcentral.
UACGGGGGGAGCAAGCGUUGUUCGGAUUUACUGGGCGUAAAGGGCGCGUAGGCGGCCACCGCAAGUCGACUGUGAAAUCUCCGGGCUUAACCCGGAACGGUCAGCCGAUACUGCGGGGCUAGAGUGCAGAAGGGGCAACUGGAAUUCUCGGUGUAGCGGUGAAAUGCGUAGAUAUCGAGAGGAACACCUGCGGCGAAGGCGGGUUGCUGGGGCUGACACUG